CACGUGGAGAAUUCCUAAAAUAUACACCUCUGAACACAAAGCUUAGCCUCCUUUUGAAAAUGGCUGAACCGUCCCCUAAACAGAGGAAAGGGUGGAAUCUCAACACAAGUGGUAGGCAACUUUGAAAACAAUAAAUAGAUGAAGAAUGGAGAGACCUCAAAAGGAGAGUCUGGGAACCCUAGCCAAAGACCCACAUAUGCUACCAUGUGGCCCUCCCUACUCAACCUCAGUAUAUCUUUACUGAAAAACACAUGCCAAAGAACAACACCCAGAGAGCUGGAAACACUGGAAAAGAUUUCGUGAUGCCCCCAACUUUACUUUAUAGGGAAGGCUAUAAUGUGGUAAAAUCGUGGGGACUUAAUUCCAUCAUAUGGAGGUUACUGAAUGUAUCAGAGACAGCCUGCAGUUCAUCACCACACAAAUUAGGAGCAACGUAAGAAGAGAAAAAGAAAAAGGAAUUACAGAUUAAAAAAUGCAAGAGAAUAUAAACAAAUAAAAAUAUGUUCAACUGGAAUUUGUAUUGGGAUUGUAUUAAAUGGAUGAACUAAUUUGUGAAGAAAUGAUAUCAUUCCAUCCAAGA
Molecule: long non-coding RNA, 580 nt
Filed under: Homo sapiens (human)
Lineage: Eukaryota; Metazoa; Chordata; Mammalia; Primates; Hominidae
Description: HSALNT0369509
Source: RNAcentral